Molecule: ribosomal RNA, 492 nt
Filed under: uncultured bacterium
Lineage: Bacteria
Description: partial 16S ribosomal RNA
Rfam family: Bacterial small subunit ribosomal RNA
Source: RNAcentral
AGUGAACGCUGGCGGUAGGCCUAACACAUGCAAGUCGAACGGCAGCACAGUAAGAGCUUGCUCUUACGGGUGGCGAGUGGCGGACGAGUGAGGAAUACAUCGGAAUCUACUUUUUCGUGGGGGAUAACGUAGGGAAACUUACGCUAAUACCGCAUACGACCUACGGGUGAAAGCAGGGGAUCUUCGGACCUUGCGCGAUUGAAUGAGCCGAUGUCGGAUUAGCUAGUUGGCGGGGUAAAGGCCCACCAAGGCGACGAUCCGUAGCUGGUCUGAGAGGAUGAUCAGCCACACUGGAACUGAGACACGGUCCAGACUCCUACGGGAGGCAGCAGUGGGGAAUAUUGGACAAUGGGCGCAAGCCUGAUCCAGCCAUACCGCGUGGGUCAAGAAGGCCUUCGGGUUGUAAAGCCCUUUUGUUGGGAAAGAAAAGCAGCAGGUUAAUACCCCGCUGUUCUGACGGUACCCAAAGAAUAAGCACCGGCUAACUUCGUG